AAACCAUGUUGUGGGCAAUCUCUUAGAUACUCCUUGUAGCGCUCCAAGGUUCAUGAUAUGGUUCAAUAGGACCUUGCUGGAACUCCGUGAUCUUCCUCCUUAGGAU
Molecule: non-coding RNA, 106 nt
Organism: Arabis alpina (gray rockcress)
Lineage: Eukaryota; Viridiplantae; Streptophyta; Magnoliopsida; Brassicales; Brassicaceae
Source: Rfam